RNAcentral lists this ribosomal RNA (1241 nucleotides) under metagenome. RNAcentral describes it as "bacterial LSU rRNA". It matches the Rfam family "Bacterial large subunit ribosomal RNA", at positions 1564 to 2815 of the family's 2925-position model. The record is from RNAcentral.
UGAAUACGAGAUGCUACGGCGUCGAAGCAGUCUAUGUCAUACUUCCAAGAAAAGCUUGCACUGUCAUAAACAAAUAAUGCCUGUACCAUAACCGACACAGGUGGGUAGGUAGAGUAUACUAAGGGGCGCGAGAUAACUCUCUCUAAGGAACUCGGCAAAAUGACUCCGUAACUUCGGGAGAAGGAGUGCCUUAUUUAUAAGGUUGCAAUAACAAGAUCCAAGCAACUGUUUACCAAAAACACAGGUCUCCGCUAAGUCGUAAGACGAUGUAUGGGGGCUGACGCCUGCCCAGUGCCAGAAGGUUAAAGAAGUUGGUUAGCAUCCGCGAAGCUGAUAACUGAAGCCCUGGUGAACGGCGGCCGUAACUAUAACGGUCCUAAGGUAGCGAAAUUCCUUGUCGGGUAAGUUCCGACCCGCACGAAAGGCGUAAUGAUUUGGAUACUGUCUCGGAGAGGGGCUCGGUGAAAUAGACUUGUCUGUGAAGAUGCGGACUACCUGCACCAGGACAGAAAGACCCUAUGAAGCUUUACUGUAACCUGAAAUUGAAAUUGGACUUUACUUGCGCAGUAUAGGUGGGAGGCGUUGAGAAUAUUCUUGCGGGAUUAUUGGAGCCAUCAGUGAGAUACCACUCUUGUAAUGUUAGAUUUCUAACUUUGUAUCAUUAUCUGGUCAAAGAACAGUUUCAGGCGGGCAGUUUGACUGGGGCGGUCGCCUCCUAAACGGUAACGGAGGCGCACAAAGGUUUCCUCUGAACGGGUAGAAAUCGUAUCUAGAGUGUAAAGGCAUAAGGAAGCUUGACUGUGAGACCUACAAGUCGAGCAGGGACGAAAGUCGGUCUUAGUGAUCUGACGGUGCUGAGUGGAAAGGCCGUCACUCAACGGAUAAAAGUUACUCUAGGAUAACAGGCUGAUCUCCCCCAAGAGUUCACAUCGACGGGGAGGUUUGGCACCUCGAUGUCGGCUCAUCGCAUCCUGGGGCGGUAGUACGUCCCAAGGGUUGGGCUGUUCGCCCAUGAAAGCGGUACGCGAGCUGGGUUCAGAACGUCGUGAGACAGUUCGGUCCAUAUCCGGUGUAGGCGUUAGAAUAUUGAGAGGAGCCUUCUUUAGUACGAGAGGACCGAGAAGGACAUACCUCUGGUGUACCAGUUGUCGUGCCAACGGUAAACGCUGGGUAGCUAUGUGUGGAGUGGAUAACCGCUGAAAGCAUCUAAGUGGGAAGCCCACCUCAAGAUAAGUAUUCUC